CUCCGUAGGUGAACCUGCGGAGGGAUCAUUA
This 31-nucleotide ribosomal RNA is filed under the name Fusarium oxysporum. Its description in RNAcentral is "partial 18S ribosomal RNA". The record is from RNAcentral. RNAcentral also lists the same sequence under 16 other names. Lineage: Eukaryota; Fungi; Ascomycota; Sordariomycetes; Hypocreales; Nectriaceae.